RNAcentral lists this ribosomal RNA (104 nucleotides) under Macropsychanthus lauterbachii. RNAcentral's name for it is "partial 28S ribosomal RNA". Lineage: Eukaryota; Viridiplantae; Streptophyta; Magnoliopsida; Fabales; Fabaceae. The record is from RNAcentral.
CUUCCUGUUAAAUGUGGGCCUUGACCCUUUGCGUUUACGAAAGAAUGCUCAUAUCGAGACCUCAGGUCAGGCGGGGUUACCCGCURAGUUUAAGCAUAUCAAUA